This 76-nucleotide transfer RNA is filed under the name Acidimicrobiia bacterium. Its description in RNAcentral is "tRNA-Met". It matches the Rfam family "tRNA". From Rfam's summary of the family: Transfer RNA (tRNA) molecules are approximately 80 nucleotides in length. Lineage: Bacteria; Bacillati; Actinomycetota; Acidimicrobiia. RNAcentral also lists the same sequence under 1 other name. The record is from RNAcentral.
GGGCCAGUAGCUCAGUGGUCAGAGCAGGGGACUCAUAAUCCCUUGGUCGUAGGUUCGAUCCCUACCUGGCCCACCA